RNAcentral lists this ribosomal RNA (318 nucleotides) under Triticum aestivum (bread wheat). RNAcentral describes it as "partial small subunit ribosomal RNA". The record is from RNAcentral. Lineage: Eukaryota; Viridiplantae; Streptophyta; Magnoliopsida; Poales; Poaceae.
AUGGAGCCUCAUUUUUUUACUGGAUGUAGUAAGCUAGGUGCGGAUGCUCUUGAUCCCUUGUAUUUUCUCACCACUACGUAUGUCUUGGAUGUAAAAUUGAUUGUUUCCAAGAUGGCCAGUGAUGAGGAUUCACUAGAUGAUCAAAACCCUAGAUCUUGGACCGUUAGCAACACUAGUGCUAUUAACAAGACAGAAGAAGCAUCCAGCACGGUCCAGGAUCAUCACCCACAAAAAGCAGUAGUGAACUUCUUAAAGGAUGAGAAUACCACCAAAACGAUCCAUGAGCAAUGGCAAGCAAAAGCUAAGGUUGCGUCGUAG